This 253-nucleotide ribosomal RNA is filed under the name uncultured bacterium. RNAcentral describes it as "partial 16S ribosomal RNA". It matches the Rfam family "Bacterial small subunit ribosomal RNA", at positions 524 to 776 of the family's 1533-position model. The record is from RNAcentral.
UACGUAGGGACCGAGCGUUGUCCGGAAUCAUUGGGCGUAAAGAGCGUGUAGGCGGCCUUUUAAGUCCUGCGUGAAAUCCUGCGGCUCAACCGCAGACGGUCGUGGGAAACUGGAAGGCUAGAGUGCGGGAGAGGAGAGUGGAAUUCCCGGUGUAGCGGUGAAAUGCGCAGAUAUCAGGAGGAACACCGGUGGCGAAGGCGGGAUCCUGGGCCAGUACUGACGCUGAGGAGCGAAAGCGUGGGGAGCAAACAGG